CCAAGGCCAGGGAUCAUAUUUUAUCGGCUUCAAAUGAGAUUAUUUCCCUUUUAUUACAAGGCGAGGGAUUAGGGAAGGGGUCAUAUUUUAAUCUUUUAAAAAAUAUAUUCCUUCCAAUUUAAAAUAUAAGAUCAUGCAACAUUAAUUUAAAAUAUUUUUAAUUCCAAAUUUAUGCGAGAUAGUACAAAAUAUUUUUCAAUAGUAAAUGAUCAAUUGUUAAUUUGAUUAUACUACACGACAAACGAUGCUGAAUAUAAAAUAAAACUAAGACUGAGCAUUCGGUUAAUAACCGAACCGAAUCAGAAUUUCGAUUAUAAUUGAAAUUCAAAAACACCCUAUUUUAACUACCUGAACAAAUAAUCGAAUUUUGUACUAACUGAAUAAGUUAUUCGGUUAUUCAAUUAAUAACCAAAUUAAAAAGAAUUAGCAAACACAAUUCAAUUCCUACAAAUUACAAUCCAUAAAACAUAACCCGUAAACAACAACACAGACACAGUUCCUACAACAAAACCUUCACCGUAAUCGCUGAAACCCUAAUCCCAUUCCCAAUCCCAUCGAUUCUUCUAUAAAUGAUACAUCCAAGACAAUAAACAAUGGACGCCUCUUAUCUGCAACAAAUCAAUUACAUCUCAUCUCCAAUUCGUUCCUCCACCAACCGUCCUUUCUCUGUUCUCUUCACAACUCCGAUACACAAGUAGCUGGGAAGCCUCGUCCUCGUGAGGUUGUGAGCAAGAAAAAAAAGAUGAAAUUGAACGGGUCUGUGACGAUCUUCAUUCAGGUUUCGAGCUGGGAAGCCUCGUGAGUCGUGACUCGUGAGCUUGGUUUCGAUUUUCGAGCUCCGAUACACAUUUGCUUGGUUUCGGAUCUUCAGGUUUGUUCGGCGAAGGCCGAAGGUGAAGCCGCGAAGGCGAUGGAGAUCUGAGAUAUCUGGGUCUCAGAUCAACAAUGGCAGCCAUAAAUCUGUGACGAUUUGAGAUCUGUAGAUAUUAAAGACUUAAAGUAGAUCUGUAGAGAUUUGGAAUUUUCAUGGGCUAUUUAGUAAUCUGUAAUUUUCAUGUCCAGCCCACUUCAUCUUGUUCGGUUAUGUAAAUACUUCAUCUUUACACAGUUUUGUUCGGUUAUUCGGGUUAACCGAAUAACCCAAAAUAAUACCCGUAUAAAUUAAUCGAAAAUCGUAAUAAAAUUCGGAUAUAACCGAAAUGUUAAAAAUACUCAAAUUGUCAGAAAAUUUCGGUUAAAUUAUUUCGAUUUGGUUCGAUUUUUUGAUUAUAUCUGAUUUUUGCUCAGUCCUAAAUAAAACCCUUGAAAAUUGAGAAGAUCGAAUGAAUCGUACUCAUAAUCACAUCAGGUCUCCAAGUGAACGG
This 1364-nucleotide long non-coding RNA is filed under the name Panax ginseng (ginseng). Its description in RNAcentral is "long non-coding RNA (PGIN_LNC009116)". The record is from RNAcentral. Lineage: Eukaryota; Viridiplantae; Streptophyta; Magnoliopsida; Apiales; Araliaceae.